Molecule: ribosomal RNA, 279 nt
Filed under: uncultured bacterium
Lineage: Bacteria
Description: partial 16S ribosomal RNA
Rfam family: Bacterial small subunit ribosomal RNA
Source: RNAcentral
UGCCAGCAGCCGCGGUAAUACAGAGGGUGCGAGCGUUAAUCGGAAUUACUGGGCGUAAAGAGCACGUAGGUUGGUAUUUAAGUCAGUUGUGAAAGUCUCGAGCUCAACUUGAGGACUGCAUCUGAAACUGAAUGCCUAGAGUUUGGUAGAGGGAAGUGGAAUUUCCGAAGUAGCGGUGAAAUGCAUAGAUAUCGGAAGGAACACCAGUGGCGAAGGCGGCUUCCUGGACCAAUACUGACACUGAGGUGCGAAAGCGUGGGGAGCGAACAGGAUUAGAUA